This 247-nucleotide long non-coding RNA is filed under the name dengue virus type 2. Its description in RNAcentral is "partial sfRNA1". The stretch from base 156 to 227 matches the Rfam family "Flavivirus DB element". Lineage: Riboviria; Orthornavirae; Kitrinoviricota; Flasuviricetes; Amarillovirales; Flaviviridae. The record is from RNAcentral.
UAGAAGUCAGGUCGGAUUAAGCCAUAGUACGGAAAAAACUAUGCUACCUGUGAGCCCCGUCCAAGGACGUUAAAAGAAGUCAGGCCAUUACAAAUGCCACAGCUCGAGUAAACUGUGCAGCCUGUAGCUCCACCUGAGAAGGUGUAAAAAAUCUGGGAGGCCACAAACCAUGGAAGCUGUACGCAUGGCGUAGUGGACUAGCGGUUAGAGGAGACCCCUCCCUUACAAAUCGCAGCAACAAUGGGGG